ACACUGGAACUGAGACACGGUCCAGACUCCUACGGGAGGCAGCAGUGGGGAAUAUUGGACAAUGGGCGAAAGCCUGAUCCAGCCAUGCCGCGUGUGUGAAGAAGGUCUUCGGAUUGUAAAGCACUUUAAGUUGGGAGGAAGGGCAGUAAGUUAAUACCUUGCUGUUUUGACGUUACCGACAGAAUAAGCACCGGCUAACUCUGUG
RNAcentral lists this ribosomal RNA (205 nucleotides) under uncultured bacterium. RNAcentral's name for it is "partial 16S ribosomal RNA". It matches the Rfam family "Bacterial small subunit ribosomal RNA", at positions 310 to 507 of the family's 1533-position model. The record is from RNAcentral.